GACGAACGCUGGCGGCGUGCUUAACACAUGCAAGUCGAACGGGCCCGCUCUCUUUUUUGGGGGUGGGUUGAGUGGCGAACGGGUGAGUAUCCCGUGAGUAACCUGCCCCCUGCUCCUGGAUAACUGCUUGAAAGGGCGGCUAAUACGGGGUGUGCCGGCUGGUCCGCAUGGGCCUGGUCGGGAUAGUUUCAUCUUCGGGUGUUUCGGUGGGGGAUGGGCUCGCGGCCUAUUAGCUUGUUGGUGGGGUGAUGGCCCACCAAGGCGGUGACGGGUAGCCGGUCUGAGGGGGAGGGCGGCCACACUGGGACUGAGCCACGGUGCAGACUCCAGCGGGCGGCAGCAGUGGGGGGUAUUGCACAAUGGACGGAAGCCUGAUGCAGCGAAGGCGCGUGAGGGAUGGAGGCCGUCGGGUGGUGAACCUCUUUCUCCGGUGGUGAAGGCCCUGUCCGUUGCGGCGGGGUUGACGGUAGCCGGGUAUGAAGCGCCGGCUAACUACGUG
This 499-nucleotide ribosomal RNA is filed under the name uncultured bacterium. RNAcentral describes it as "partial 16S ribosomal RNA". It matches the Rfam family "Bacterial small subunit ribosomal RNA", at positions 28 to 507 of the family's 1533-position model. The record is from RNAcentral.